RNAcentral lists this ribosomal RNA (156 nucleotides) under Solanum tuberosum (potato). RNAcentral describes it as "rRNA 5_8S_rRNA". It matches the Rfam family "5.8S ribosomal RNA". Rfam says of the family: 5.8S ribosomal RNA (5.8S rRNA) is a component of the large subunit of the eukaryotic ribosome. It is transcribed by RNA polymerase I as part of the 45S precursor that also contains 18S and 28S rRNA. The record is from Rfam by way of RNAcentral. Lineage: Eukaryota; Viridiplantae; Streptophyta; Magnoliopsida; Solanales; Solanaceae.
AACUCUAUAUUACUGAUCUCCUUAACCUCUCUGUUAUCAAGAACGUAGGGAAAUGCGAUAAUUGGUAUGAAUUUUAGAAUCUCGUGAAUGAUUGAGUCUUUGAGAGUAAGUUACGCCCAAAACCAUUAAGUCGAUGGCACAUGUACCUAGGUGUCA